This 2965-nucleotide long non-coding RNA is filed under the name Homo sapiens (human). Its description in RNAcentral is "HSALNT0150072". The record is from RNAcentral. Lineage: Eukaryota; Metazoa; Chordata; Mammalia; Primates; Hominidae.
AAAUAGAAACCCUGAAAAGACAAAUAACAAGCAGCAAGAUUGAAUAAGUAUUAAAAAAUGCCAACAAAAAUGUCCAGGACUAGAUGGAUUUACAGCUGAAUUCCACCAGACAUUCAAAGAAGAAUUGGUACCAAUCCUACUGAAACUAUUCCAAAUGAUAGAGAAAGAGGGAAUCUUCCCUACAUCAUUCGAUGAGGCCAGCAUCACCCUAAUACCAAGACCAGCAAAGGACAUGUCAAAAAAAGAAAACUACAGACCGAUAUUCCUGAUGAACACAGAUGCAAAAAUCCUCAACAAAAUACUAGUGAACUAAAUCCAACAGCAUAUCACAAAGAUAAUGCAUCAUGAUCAAGUGGUUUCAUACCAGGAAUGCAGGAAUGGUUUAACAUAUGCAAGUCAAGUCAAUAAGUGUGAUAUAUUACAUAAACAGAAUUAAAAACAAAAACCAUAUGAUCAUCUCAAUAGAUGCAGAAAAAUAAUUUGAUAAAAUCUAGCAUGACUUUUUGAAAAAAACCCUCAACAAAACAGGCAUAGAAGGGACUUACUUUAAAGUAAUAAAAGCCAUAUCUGACAAACCCACAGCCAAUGUCACACUAAACUGGGAAAAGUUGAAAGCAUUCUCCCUGAGAACAGGAACAAGACAAGGAUGCUGACUUUCACCACUUCUAUUCAACUUAGUACUGGAAGUCCUAACCAGAGCAAUCAGACAAGAGAAAGAAAUGAAAGGAAUCCAAAUCAGAAAAAAGGAUGUCAAACCAUCGCUGUUCACAGAUUAUAUGAUUGUAUAGCUAGAAAACCCUAAAGACUCAUCCAAAAAGCUCCUAGAUCCAAUAAACAAAUUCAGUAAAGUCUCAGGAUACAAAAUCAAUGUACAAAAAUCAGUAACACUGGAAUACACCAAAAAUGACCAAGCUGAGAAUCAAAUCAAGAACAACAGCUGCAAUAAAAAGAAAACCUUAGGAAUACACUUAACUAAGGAGGUGAAAGAUCUCUACCAAAAAAACCCUACAAAACACUGCUGAAAGAAAGAUAAGUGAAAUAAACAAAUGGAAAUAAGUUCCAUGGCCAUAGAUGGGAAGAAUCAACAUUGUGAAAAUGACUGUACUGCUCAAAGCAAUCUACAGAUUCAAUGCAAUUCCCAUCAAAAUACCAUAAUUCUUCACAGAACUAGAAAAAACAAUCCUAAAUUCAUAUGGAAGCAAAAAAGAUCCCACAUAGCCAAAGAAAUACUAAGCUGAAAGUACAAAUAUAAAGGCUUCACAUUACCCAACUUCAAGUUAUACUACAAGGUUACAGUUAUCAAAACCGCGGGGUACUGGUAUAAAAAUAGGCACAUAGACCAAUGGAACAGAAAUAGAGAACCUAGAAAUAAAGCCAAAUACUUGGAGCCAACUGAUCUUUGACAAGGCAUACAAAAACAUACAUUGGGAAAAGGACACCCUAUUCAAUAAAUGGUGCUGGGAAAACUGGCAAGCCACAUGUAGAGGAAUAAAACUGGAUCUCCAUCUGUCACCUUAUACAAAAAUCAACUCAAGAUGAAUCAAAGAGUUAAAUCUAAGAUCUGAAAUCAUAAAAAUUCUAGAAGAUAACAUCAAAAAUACUCUUCUGGACAUUGGCUUAGGCAAAGAAUUCAUAAUUAAGUACCCAAAAGCAAAUGCAACAAAACAAAAAUAAAUUGCUUCUUCAUAGCAAAAGAAAUUACAGAGUAAACAGACAACCCACAGAGCGGGAGAAAAUAUUCACAAACUAUGCAUCCAACAAAGGUCUAGAAUCCAGAACCUACAAGGAACUCAAAUCAGCAAGAAAAAAACAAAUAAUCCCAUGAAAAAGUGGGCAAAGGUCAUGAACAGACACUUCUCAAAAGAAGAUAUACAAAUGGCCAACAAACACAUGAAAAACUGUUCAACAUCACUAAUUCUCAUGGAAAUGCAAAUCAAAACCACAGUGAGACACCAGCUUACUCCUGCAAGAAUGGCCAUAAUUAAAAUGUCAAAGAACAAUAGAUGUUGGUGUGGAUGUGGUGAAAGGAAACACUUUUACACUGCUGAUGGGAAUAUAAAUUAGUACAACCACUACAGAAAACAGUAUGUGGAUUCCUUAAAGAACUAAAAGUAGAUCUACCAUUUAGUCCAGCAAUCCUGCUACUGGGUAUCUAGGAAAGGAAAAUAAGUCAUUACAUAAAAAAGACAGCUACAUGCAUAUAUUUAUUACAGCACAAUUCGCAAUGGCAAAGAUAUGGAAGCAACAUAAGCGCCCAUCAAUUAAUCAAUGGGGAGACUGUGGCUCAAUGAGGUCAAACAAUUUGCAGUCAGGGAGUAGGGAUGCUUUGAAUAUGGCCAUCAUCUCACUGGCUCACUGUGGGGGAGUGAUGCCAGGAGGACUUCUGUUCCACCAUCUUGCUGAUGUUACUCUCCCUCACUAAAACAUUGUGUGUGCAACUAGGGUCAUCUGGGCAGCUGAAAAAAAAAGUCAAAGAAAAACUAAGGCCUUCCUUUCCUAUCACCCAUCAAUGUUGGCAGAGAUGGAAAAAACAGGCACCGUUUAGGUGCUGGGAAUGGAGCAGUGAACCACACUGACAACAACUCCCUGCCUUCAUAGAACCUGCCUUCUAGAAAGGGAAGACAGAGCAAAAAAAAAAUAAACUGGAUCAAAGCUAUACUCAACUUCAAGAUGACUGUUCACUGAGAAAUGUGAAAUUAAUAUGAAAUAUGAAAGAAAACUCUUACUAUGUAAAUGAAUCACAGAAUCCAAGAAAGAUGUGCCGGAUGGGAACUAGAGGUCAUCUAGAUUGCAUUCUGUCUAAUCAGAUCAUAUGAAGGAGCCAAAGCUGUCUUCCUGUUAGCUCCAGAGUAAAAGUAGCCUGCAGCCCACACCCUGGGGUCUGAUGAAAGGACUCACACUCCAGUCUGCAUUCCUGCUGCACCUGCCAGACCCUGCUGACAAAAUUUCUGUUUCUCCAUUGACC